GAUGAACGCUGACAGAAUGCUUAACACAUGCAAGUCAACUUGAACUUCGGUUUGGGUGGCGGACGGGUGAGUAACGCGUAAAGAACUUGCCUCACAGUUAGGGACAACAUUUGGAAACGAAUGCUAAUACCUGAUAUUAUGAUUUUAGGGCAUCCUAGAAUUAUGAAAGCUAUAUGCGCUGUGAGAGAGCUUUGCGUCCCAUUAGCUAGUUGGAGAGGUAACGGCUCACCAAGGCGAUGAUGGGUAGCCGGCCUGAGAGGGUGAACGGCCACAAGGGGACUGAGACACGGCCCUUACUCCUACGGGAGGCAGCAGUGGGGAAUAUUGGACAAUGGACCAAGAGUCUGAUCCAGCAAUUCUGUGUGCACGAUGAAGUUUUUCGGAAUGUAAAGGGCUUUCAGUUGGGAAGAAAAAAAUGACGGUACCAACAGAAGAAGUGACGGCUAAAUACGUG
This 454-nucleotide ribosomal RNA is filed under the name uncultured bacterium. RNAcentral describes it as "partial 16S ribosomal RNA". It matches the Rfam family "Bacterial small subunit ribosomal RNA", at positions 28 to 507 of the family's 1533-position model. The record is from RNAcentral.